AAAGGUAGUGCCUUUACGACACUUUAAAGCUCAAGGGGGGAGUAUUUCUCAUUAAUCAUGGUUCAUUAACCACCAGUUUAUCUAAGUCGUGUCUACCUUUUUAUUGAAGGGAAAUAAAACAGAUAUAAAAACAAAAACAACGGAACCUGUGGGUUUCCUCCCACACAACACUUCAUUUAUAUGUUGGUAGCUCAACUCAGUUUUAAUAACCCUCUAA
This 217-nucleotide long non-coding RNA is filed under the name Lathyrus oleraceus (garden pea). RNAcentral describes it as "Pisum sativum (pea) long non-coding RNA (PSAT_LNC030634)". Lineage: Eukaryota; Viridiplantae; Streptophyta; Magnoliopsida; Fabales; Fabaceae. The record is from RNAcentral.